UGUAGUGUAGUUGGAAGCAAAUGUGGUGGACGUUUUGUUAGUUGUUAGGACUCUAAUCCUGAUAACUUUCUCAGACUUGAGAAAGAGAAGGAAAGAGCACUCAAACAAACACACACACUCUCUCUCUCUCCUUUACAUAUCUCACGUCUCAUCACUCUUUCCUUUUUUCAUAUGUUUCUACUCAUCAAGCUUUCAACUGCAACUCACGCGCCUGCAACUUUCUUACUUACUUUGUCCUUCUUUUUUCUGUUUUUUUCUAUGUCAAAAAUAGACCCUUCAUCCCCAUCACUUUGUUUCUGUACCAUACCAUCCACUCCGGGGGUAAAAUAAAAUCUAACAGCAAAUGCUUUGUUUCUCACUCAUGUUUUAUUCAACAUGUUAGAAACCAGUUCAAAACAUUUUCUGGUUAUAAAACAAAACUCUUCCACUGAC
RNAcentral lists this long non-coding RNA (432 nucleotides) under Vigna radiata. Its description in RNAcentral is "long non-coding RNA (VRAD_LNC002804)". Lineage: Eukaryota; Viridiplantae; Streptophyta; Magnoliopsida; Fabales; Fabaceae. The record is from RNAcentral.